GGCGGACGGGUGAGUAAUACGUGGGUAACCUUGCAUCUGUAAGACUGGGAUAACUCCGGGAAACCGGGGCUAAUACCGGAUGGUUGUUUGAACCGCAUGGUUCAAACAUAAAAGGUGGCUUCGGCUACCACUUACAGAUGGACCCGCGGCGCAUUAGCUAGUUGGUGAGGUAACGGCUCACCAAGGCAACGAUGCGUAGCCAACCUGAAAGGGUGAUCGGCCACACUGACGGACUGAUAACACGGCCCAAACUCCUACGGGAGGCAGCAGUAGGGAAUCUUCCGCAAUGGACGAAAGUCUGACGGAGCAACGCCGCGUGAGUGAUGAAGGUUUUCGGAUCGUAAAGCUCUGUUGUUAGGGAAAAACAAGUACCGUUCGAAUAGGGCGGUACCUUGACGGUACCUAACCAAAAAGCCACGGCUAACUACGUGCCAGCACCCGCGGUAAUACGUAGGUGGCAAGCGUUGUCCGGAAUUAUUGGGCGUAAAGGGCUCGCAGGCGGUUUCUUAAGUCUGAUGUGAAAGCCCCCGGCUCAACCGGGGAGGGUCAUUGGAAACUGGGGAACUUGAGUGCAAAAGAGGAGAGUGGAAUUCCACGUGUAGCGGUGAAAUGCGUAGAGAUGUGGAGGAACACUCNAGUGGCGAAGGCGACUCUCUGGUCUGUAACUGACGCUGAGGUAGCGAAAGCGUGGGGAGCGAACAGGAUUAGAUACCCUGGUAGUCCACGCCGUAAACGAUGAGUGCUAAGUGUUAGGGGGUUUCCGCCCCUUAGUGCUGCAGCUAACGCAUUAAGCACUCCGCCUGGGGAGUACGGUCGCAAGACUGAAACUCAAAGGAAUUGACGGGGGCCCGCACAAGCGGUGGAGCAUGUGGUUUAAUUCGAAGCAACGCGAAGAACCUUACCAGGUCUUGACAUCCUCUGACAAUCCUAGAGAUAGGACGUCCCCUUCGGGGGCAGAGUGACAGGUGGUGCAUGGUUGUCGUCAGCUCGUGUCGUGAGAUGUUGGGUUAAGUCCCGCAACGAGCGCAACCCUUGAUCUUAGUUGCCAGCAUUCAGUUGGGCACUCUAAGGUGACUGCCGGUGACAAACCGGAGGAAGGUGGGGAUGACGUCAAAUCAUCAUGCCCCUUAUGACCUGGGCUACACACGUGCUACAAUGGACANGAACAAAGGGCAGCGAAACCGCGAGGUUAAGCCAAUCCCACAAAUCUUGUUCUCAGUUCGGAUCGCAGUCUGCAACUCGACUGCGUGAAGCUGGAAUCGCUAGUAAUCGCGGAUCCAGCAUGCCGCGGUGAAUACGUUCCCGG
This 1306-nucleotide ribosomal RNA is filed under the name Bacillus subtilis. RNAcentral's name for it is "bacterial SSU rRNA". It matches the Rfam family "Bacterial small subunit ribosomal RNA", at positions 97 to 1377 of the family's 1533-position model. The record is from RNAcentral. Lineage: Bacteria; Bacillati; Bacillota; Bacilli; Caryophanales; Bacillaceae.